UACGGAGGGAGCUAGCGUUGUUCGGAAUUACUGGGCGUAAAGCGCACGUAGGCGGCUUUUUAAGUCAGGGGUGAAAUCCCGGAGCUCAACUCCGGAACUGCCCUUGAAACUGGGAAGCUAGAAUCUUGGAGAGGCGAGUGGAAUUCCGAGUGUAGAGGUGAAAUUCGUAGAUAUGCGGAAGAACACCAGUGGCGAAGGCGACUCGCUGGACAAGUAUUGACGCUGAGGUGCGAAAGCGUGGGGAGCAAACAGG
This 253-nucleotide ribosomal RNA is filed under the name uncultured bacterium. RNAcentral describes it as "partial 16S ribosomal RNA". It matches the Rfam family "Bacterial small subunit ribosomal RNA", at positions 524 to 776 of the family's 1533-position model. The record is from RNAcentral.